RNAcentral lists this ribosomal RNA (253 nucleotides) under uncultured bacterium. RNAcentral's name for it is "partial 16S ribosomal RNA". It matches the Rfam family "Bacterial small subunit ribosomal RNA", at positions 524 to 776 of the family's 1533-position model. The record is from RNAcentral.
UACGGAGGGGGCUAGCGUUGUUCGGAAUUACUGGGCGUAAAGCGCACGUAGGCGGCUUCGCAAGUCAGGGGUGAAAGCCCGGGGCUCAACCCCGGAACUGCCUUUGAGACUGCGUCGCUUGAAUCCGGGAGAGGCGGGGGGAAUUUCGGGUGUAGAGGUGAAAUUCGUAGAGAUUCGGAAGAACACCAGCGGCGAAGGCGGCCCGCUGGACCGGUAUUGACGCUGAGGUGCGAAAGCGUGGGGAGCAAACAGG